Molecule: long non-coding RNA, 207 nt
Filed under: Actinidia chinensis (golden kiwifruit)
Lineage: Eukaryota; Viridiplantae; Streptophyta; Magnoliopsida; Ericales; Actinidiaceae
Description: long non-coding RNA (ACHI_LNC001582)
Source: RNAcentral
UCUUCUCUCCAUGGGCUAUGAAUAGAGGGAGACUCCGCCAGAGAUUGGAGACCAGAGAGGGGAAGGGAAAAGGGAGAGGGAGACCCACCAUCGGUCCACCAGAUCUCACGCAAGAACAGAGAGGGGAAGGGGAGAGGCCGAGAGGGAGACCCAUUACCAGAUCUCAACAGUCGCGGCGUCGCCGACUCGCCCGUCGUUGCUCCCGUG